AAUUCGAUUGAGUUUGAUCAUGGCUCAGGAUGAACGCUGGCGGUAUGCUUAACACAUGCAAGUCGAACGGAAUCCUUAGGGAUUUAGUGGCGGACGGGUGAGUAACGCGUGAGAAUCUGCCUUCAGGUCUGGGACAACCACUGGAAACGGUGGCUAAAACCGGAUGUGCAGCAAUGUGAAAUAUUUAUAGCCUGGAGAUGAGCUCGCGUCUGAUUAGCUAGUAGGUGUGGUAAGAGCGCACCUAGGCGACGAUCAGUAGCUGGUCUGAGAGGAUGAUCAGCCACACUGGGACUGAGACACGGCCCAGACUCCUACGGGAGGCAGCAGUGGGGAAUUUUCCGCAAUGGGCGAAAGCCUGACGGAGCAAUACCGCGUGAGGGAGGAAGGCUCUUGGGUUGUAAACCUCUUUUCUCAGGGAAGAACACAAUGACGGUACCUGAGGAAUAAGCAUCGGCUAACUCCGUGCCAGCAGCCGCGGUAAUACGGAGGAUGCAAGCGUUAUCCGGAAUGAUUGGGCGUAAAGCGUCCGCAGGUGGCUAUGUAAGUCUGCUGUUAAAUAGUGAGGCUCAACCUCAUAAAGGCAGUGGAAACUACAUGGCUUGAGUGCGUUCGGGGCAGAGGGAAUUCCUGGUGUAGCGGUGAAAUGCGUAGAGAUCAGGAAGAACACCGGUGGCGAAAGCGCCCUGCUAGGCCGCAACUGACACUGAGGGACGAAAGCUAGGGGAGCGAAUGGGAUUAGAUACCCCAGUAGUCCUAGCCGUAAACGAUGGAUACUAGGCGUGGCUUG
RNAcentral lists this ribosomal RNA (787 nucleotides) under uncultured bacterium. RNAcentral's name for it is "bacterial SSU rRNA". It matches the Rfam family "Bacterial small subunit ribosomal RNA", at positions 1 to 829 of the family's 1533-position model. The record is from RNAcentral.